GGCUCAGUGGUCUAGUGGUAUGAUUGUCGCUUCGGGUUAUUCCAUUUGCCUGGAUGCUCAGCAUCUAUAUUUGUGACAGGCCCCGGGUUCAAAUCCCGGCUGAGCCC
Patellaria atrata CBS 101060 is the source of this 107-nucleotide non-coding RNA. The record is from the annotation of a GenBank genome assembly. Lineage: Eukaryota; Fungi; Ascomycota; Dothideomycetes; Patellariales; Patellariaceae.